GGCUGUCGUCAGNUGGGGCCNUAAAGUGUUGGGUUAAGUCCCGNAACGAGGGCAACCCCUGUGGUUAGUUGCCAGCAGUUCGGCUGGGCACUCUAAUCAGACUGCCGUAGAAGAUCCGGAGGAAGGUGGGGAUGACGUCAAGUCAUCAUGCCCUUUAUGCCUUGGGCGACACACGCGCUACAAUGGCAUGCACAGACAGGAGCGAAGCCGUGAGGUGGAGCGAAUCUGAGAAAACAUGCCUCAGUACAGAUUGCAGGCUGAAACCCGCCUGCAUGAAGUCGGAAUCGCUAGUAAUCGCG
This 299-nucleotide ribosomal RNA is filed under the name uncultured bacterium. Its description in RNAcentral is "partial 16S ribosomal RNA". It matches the Rfam family "Bacterial small subunit ribosomal RNA", at positions 1047 to 1346 of the family's 1533-position model. The record is from RNAcentral.